RNAcentral lists this long non-coding RNA (669 nucleotides) under Spirodela polyrhiza (greater duckweed). RNAcentral describes it as "long non-coding RNA (SPOL_LNC001047)". The record is from RNAcentral. Lineage: Eukaryota; Viridiplantae; Streptophyta; Magnoliopsida; Alismatales; Araceae.
UGAAAUUUUCCUCUGAUUUACCCAAUGCAUCACCUGAAUAUCUGCACAUAACGAUCACCAUGUGAAGAUGAAGGUCUCUUUGGGUGGGGUAUGUUCAUCUUUUAGGGUUAGAUUUCAUGCCAAGUAAGCACUUUUUUAUUUAUUUUGGAGUAGCCGUGGGGCUACUGAUGAGACGCCCACCUUGUCUUUCUUGAUGCAGAGACCCUCCGACAUUGGAGGACGACGGAGACAGAGACCUCUGAGGGCUUCAAUGGUGGUGAGGAAUCAUCUUAUUGCCGGAGCAUGCAGUAUUGAGACUCUAUUCCUGUAUCAUGCCCAUGCAAAGAAUGGAACCUCCCAUGAUGAUGACGAUGAUGAUGAUAAUGAGGAUGGUUCUUCAGUGCCUGGUUCUUUGCUUUGAGCCACUUGAGAUGGAAUCCUAACCUUCUUCUUCAUCAUCCUCUCUCUCUUCUCUCUCUCUCUCUCUCUCUCUCUCUCUCUCUCUCUCUUUCUCUCUCCCUCAAUCCCGGUGAAUUCAAGGAUCAUCCCCAUUAAUUCUUGUGAAAUCUGACUGAUGUGAUGGAAGGCUGAGAGAUCUAGCCAGGGGAAGCAACAUCCUCCUCAAGAAAGCUCAUCGUCUACCUCAAGCAAGGUCCUCUAGUCAGGGAAAGACCCGCCACAGGACUUGCC